RNAcentral lists this transfer RNA (109 nucleotides) under Yarrowia lipolytica. Its description in RNAcentral is "tRNA-Pro". It matches the Rfam family "tRNA". Rfam says of the family: Transfer RNA (tRNA) molecules are approximately 80 nucleotides in length. Their secondary structure includes four short double-helical elements and three loops (D, anti-codon, and T loops). Further hydrogen bonds mediate the characteristic L-shaped molecular structure. tRNAs have two regions of fundamental functional importance: the anti-codon, which is responsible for specific mRNA codon recognition, and the 3' end, to which the tRNAs corresponding amino acid is attached (by aminoacyl-tRNA synthetases). tRNAs cope with the degeneracy of the genetic code in two manners: having more than one tRNA (with a specific anti-codon) for a particular amino acid; and 'wobble' base-pairing, i.e. permitting non-standard base-pairing at the 3rd anti-codon position. RNAcentral also lists the same sequence under 1 other name. Lineage: Eukaryota; Fungi; Ascomycota; Dipodascomycetes; Dipodascales. The record is from RNAcentral.
GGGUCAUUAGUAUAGUGGUAGUAUGCCUGCUUCGGGCGACUGAAGCAUCCUGUGAUUGCAGUACAAUCAUAACUUGCAGGUGACCCCGGUUCAAACCCGGGAUGACCCC